This 568-nucleotide ribosomal RNA is filed under the name uncultured Phaeocystis. Its description in RNAcentral is "partial Bacterial large subunit ribosomal RNA". It matches the Rfam family "Bacterial large subunit ribosomal RNA", at positions 1224 to 1895 of the family's 2925-position model. The record is from RNAcentral. Lineage: Eukaryota; Haptophyta; Phaeocystales; Phaeocystaceae.
AGCGGGUGCGGAGCGUUCCGUAAGCCUGCGAAGGUGCACUGUGAGGUGCGCUGGAGGUAUCGGAAGUGAGAAUGUUGACAUGAGUAGCGACAAAGCGGGUGAGAGACCCGCUCGCCGAAAAUCCAAGGGUUCCUGCGUAAAGCUAAUCUGCGCAGGGUUAGCCGGCCCCUAAGGCGAGGCCGAAAGGCGUAGUCGAUGGGAACCAGGUUAAUAUUCCUGGGCCUCUCGGGAGUUGACGGAUCGUGGUGAUUGUUCGUCCUUAUCGGAUUGGACGGGCGAUGAAGCGGUCCCUGGAAAUAGCCUCGAGAAUAGACCGUACCCGAAACCGACACAGGUGGGAUGGUAGAGUAUACCAAGGCGCUUGAGAGAACCGCGUUGAAGGAACUCGGCAAAAUACCCCCGUAACUUCGGGAUAAGGGGGCCCUUGCAUUGGGCAACCAGUGUGAGGGGGCACGGAAACGAGGGUGGCGACUGUUUACUAAAAACACAGGGCUCUGCGAAGUGGCUAACACGACGUAUAGGGUCUGACGCCUGCCCGGUGCCGGAAGGUUAAGAGGAGAUGUGAGAG